ACUAAAAUAAUUAGAUCUGCUGCCAGGUUUUGCC
This 34-nucleotide non-coding RNA is filed under the name Mus musculus (house mouse). Lineage: Eukaryota; Metazoa; Chordata; Mammalia; Rodentia; Muridae. The record is from RNAcentral.